AUGAACGCUGGCGGCGUGCCUAAUCCAUGCAAGUCGCACGCAUAGCGAAAGGUGCUUGCACCUUUCAAGUGAGUGGCGAACGGGUGAGUAACACGUGGACAACCUGCCUCAAGGCUGGGGAUAACAUUUGGAAACAGAUGCUAAUACCGAAUAAAACUUAGUGUCGCAUGACACAAAGUUAAAAGGCGCUUCGGCGUCACCUAGAGAUGGAUCCGCGGUGCAUUAGUUAGUUGGUGGGGUAAAGGCCUACCAAGACAAUGAUGCAUAGCCGAGUUGAGAGACUGAUCGGCCACAUUGGGACUGAGACACGGCCCAAACUCCUACGGGAGGCUGCAGUAGGGAAUCUUCCACAAUGGGCGAAAGCCUGAUGGAGCAACGCCGCGUGUGUGAUGAAGGCUUUCGGGUCGUAAAGCACUGUUGUAUGGGAAGAACAGCUAGAAUAGGAAAUGAUUUUAGUUUGACGGUACCAUACCAGAAAGGGACGGCUAAAUACGUG
Molecule: ribosomal RNA, 496 nt
Filed under: uncultured bacterium
Lineage: Bacteria
Description: partial 16S ribosomal RNA
Rfam family: Bacterial small subunit ribosomal RNA
Source: RNAcentral